Molecule: ribosomal RNA, 301 nt
Filed under: uncultured bacterium
Lineage: Bacteria
Description: partial 16S ribosomal RNA
Rfam family: Bacterial small subunit ribosomal RNA
Source: RNAcentral
CAGUCGCCGCGGUAAUACGCAGGUGGCAAGCGUUGUCCGGAAUUAUUGGGCGUAAAGGGCUCGCAGGCGGUUUCUUAAGUCUGAUGUGAAAGCCCCCGGCUCAACCGGGGAGGGUCAUUGGAAACUGGGAAACUUGAGUGCAGGAGAGGAGAGUGGAAUUCCACGUGUAGCGGUGAAAUGCGUAGAGAUGUGGAGGAACACCAGUGGCGAAGGCGACUCUCUGGUCUGUAACUGACACUGAGGAGCGAAAGCGUGGGGAGCGGACAGGAUUAGAGACCCCCGUAGUCCCUGUCUCUUAUAC